CCAAUGUGUUUCCACCCGACGAAGACGAUGUAGUCAAUAUUUUCAAUUCCUUACGCGGAAUCUGUACUCGCAAAGCUGUCAUGAUGAAAGAAGCCGUAAUUGAUGAUGCGGAUGUUGUGAGAGGACUUCUAGAGUUUGCUAACAGGAAUCUCAUACAUAGUAUCGUGGUCGGUGCAUCUGCCAAAAACACUUUGUCAAGUCUCAAAAAACUUAAAGCCUAUCAGUAUCAGGAUAUACCAACAGCCAUGAUCAAAUCAGCUCCGGAUUUCUGCUCUGUUUACAUAAUUUCGAAAUUGAAGAUUAUGUCUGCUCGAUCAGCGGUACGGUCAUUGUCAAAAAGUUUAACUACACCGAAACCAGUUCCUGUGCCGCCA
RNAcentral lists this small RNA (374 nucleotides) under Vigna angularis var. angularis. Its description in RNAcentral is "Non-protein coding transcript". Lineage: Eukaryota; Viridiplantae; Streptophyta; Magnoliopsida; Fabales; Fabaceae. The record is from RNAcentral.